AGUCAGUCCUAGGCAAAUCAGGACGGUUGAUCUGGAGUUAAAUUUAUGAACCAGAUGGACAAGCUCCUGCCCUCAAGGACUUUACAUCCUAAAAAGUGGGAAAUGACCAAAAAAGGAACAGGCAAUUUGCUGUGACAAUGCUGCUAUACAGAAUUCCCAUAAGCAACCCUCUUCUGGGCUUCCCUGCUUUGAAUGGUAUCUACCUUCAAGAAGGAUGGCAGAUAGGAAGGAAGGCCUUGUGAGGGCAUGGGGAGAAAGUGGCCAUCUGCAAACCAGGAAGAGGACCCUCACCUGGAACUGAAGUUGCCUGCAUGCUGACCUCCAAAAAAUAAAUUGCUGUUAAGCCACCCAGCCUAUGGUAUUCUGUUGUGGCAGCCUGAACAAUUGAAGACAAGGACGCUUUAAUUUUUCCCAGAGUGGAGGCCCAGAGCCUGCUUGGGUGACGUACUGAACAUCUCUUGUAACUGAAGCCCAGAGGCCGAAGACCUCCCAUGUUCUGGAAUCCAGAGAUCUUGCCUUGGUCAUUUGCUAGACACUUAUUUAAGUUAUGAAACGAUUUUAUGGCACCUCAUUUGAGCCUCACUACCAGGCCUGGAACUAGGAACCUUGCAUUUAUCCAGAAGGAACAAGGCCCCCAUCACUUGGGUCAGCCCAUCCCAUGCUGCACGGCUGACAGCUCCUGCCAGGGUCCCUUCUCAAUCCUGUCCUGUGAGCGGGGAGCACAUUGCCAGGGGUCUGUGCUGGAGUACGUGCACUUGAACAUACGUGCGUGCCUGGCUUCGUGGCUGUGAGAAACCAGAGGAGGAGGUGGCAAGCAAGCUCUCACUUUUGGUCAAGCACAUGCAUCUCAGGGAGCAGAUGCAGAACACAGUUCCAUGUGCCCAAGCAGGUGGAGUAAGGAAACACGUUGAUCGUGUGAACUUGGAUACACAAGUAUGUUCCCACAUCUGUGUAAGACCUUGGAAGUGAAGACAUCCACACAGCACGUGAGCCCAUGAGACUUCCCUCUAGGCUAAGGUGAGAGCAGGUUUGCUGAGUCAUUCCCAAAACCUACAAUGAAGAAUUUGGAGGCGUGUCCCCUGUCCUGACUGUGAGUUUUCUGGUGGCUAGAAUGAUUUGGUCACCAGCUGGCCAUUAGGCUAAGGUGACUAUGGGCUAUCUUCAGCAGUGACAGCUGGGACUGUCGGCUGCAGCCCCUCCUGCUUCGGGGAAGGAAAGAGGGGGCUGUAGAAGAGACCUGAGUUUGAGACAUUAGUCCUGCCUCCUCCAACAGACAAAGGCAUGUCUUUGCUGAAGCAACGGGAGCAGGCGCUGGGUUUCUCUCUAACUCUAGGCUUUCUAGGCCACUCUCCUGAUGGUUUUGUGUGUCCUACUGAUUGAUGAGUAUUAUGGGUUGAAUUAUGUUACCCCGACAUUUAUAUGUGGAUGUCUUAACCCUCAGUACCUCAGACUGUGACCUUAUUUGGAAAUAAGGUCUGUAUAGAUGUAAUCAGUUAAGAGGCGGUCAUCCUGGAGUGGGGGGCACCCUUAGUUGAUAUGACAGAGACAUGAACAGAGGGCCUGAAGAGGACGGCAGAGUCGGUGUGAUACUUCUACAAGCCAAGGAAUGCCAAAGGUCACCAGGAGGCCAGCAGGGGAGGCCUGGAACAGAUUCUCUCUCACACUUCAGAAAGAACCCGCCCUACCGACACCUUGACCUUGAACUUCCAGCCUCCUGCAUCACGGGACAAUGCAUUUUUAUUGUCUAGCUACCCCAUCUGUGGUAUUUCUUUCCACAGCUGCAGCAGACUCAUAGAAUAGUAGACACCACCUGCUGGAGAAAGCCUUGAAUCUCCAUUAUUCCCUCCUCUAUUUCCCCUUCUCCCCAGCUCCAGGACACAAGCACAUCAGGUAGAGGCACUAUAACAGCAGGUAAAUAUUCCCCAGGAAAGUGAUUUUUUCCAGCCCAGUGCAGUUUCAUAGCCACCACUGCAGAUUACGAGGUCCUUCUUUCUAUCCCGCCUAAAUCUCACCUGCUGCAGCUCCAGCCCAUUCUGUAUUAUUUUGUGCUCAAAAGAGAGACUCAUCAGAACUCCCACCUCUGGGAAAUAAUCCUUUGUUGUCUAAAAUUGACCUGUGGAAUCUCCUUUCCAUAAUGGCUAGUUCAAGGUAGACCCUCCAUUCCUAGCCCCCAUCUCCCAAACCCCUGACUCUCAAUCCUCCAAAUGUCCCCAUGCGAUGACUUUUUCUUUGACAUCCUAGAGCAGGCUGGGCAGGAUCUGGCCUUCCCUCCCACCCCCCUGCCCUGAGCCUGUCCCUCCCCUGUCUCCUGGGCCCCUCGAUACGGGCCAUCCUUCCAACAAACAGAGCUUGUUUGUGGGCUCACACGUGCCUUGUCUCCAAACACAGUGCAGAGAGAAGCUGUAAGGAGUGAGACGCAGCGGCUGGGAAAUCGCAGUGACCGAUGAGAGGGCCUGAUUGCUUGUGCAUAGCUGCUGAAAGGGGUCUUGACAUUUUAAGUGCUCGUCAGAGUGAGGAAUGACAGCAGCAGACAAUGAGACACUUCCUCUUUGCCUUUUGCUGGCUAUUAAUAAGUGUUUCUGAUUCUGCAGAUGUGGGAGAGAUUCUGGGCCAUUGGGCUGGGUGUGCUGUGUGGGAUUUUUUUCUCACUUUGUCUUUCUCCCAGUGCCAGUUUCCCCCUCUCUCCCCCGACUCCCCCUCCUCUAGCUGCCACUCUCCUCUCCUAGGCGCUGGAGCCGGAUUUGUUAGCGCUCAGGAAAUGGCAUUAGGCAGCUGGACUCAACCUGCCUUUGGCUCUUGGCUGAAAUCCAAUCUCCUAGUUUCCCUGGCCUGGACCAACUGCCAUGUCCCACUCACAUUCCCCAGGGUUGGAGAGGAAUGGAAGGGACAUAGUGGGCUGGCAGAGAGGGUAGAAAGGACUUGUGAGGCUGAAAUUGGGGAAGGGGCGAUAAGGAAAGGAUUAAAAUGGGCCAUUAAGAUAGCAGAACUUGGGGACAGAGAAGGCAGAGAGAACAGGGGAACAGGAUCUUCCCUCUCCCUGAUUCCUCUGCUCCUGUCUCCUCCCCUCUGUGUCCUCCACAGCUGACCCUGGGCAGGGGUGUUCUCCUCUUCCUCUGUCCCUCCCUUCCUCCCCUCUGUGUCCUCCACAGCUCACACUGGGCAGGGGUGCCAUCUCCUUCCUCUGCCCCUCCCUCCUCCCCUCUGUGUCCUCCACAGCUCACACUGGGCAGGGUGCUGUCUCCUCCUCUGCCCCUCCCUUCCUCCCCUCUGUGUCCUCCACAGCUCACACUGGGCAGGGGUGCCAUCUCCUUCCUCUGCCCCUCCCUCCUUCCCUCCGUGUCCUCCACAGCUCACCUGGGCAGGGGUGCUGCCUCUGGGCCUUGGGGAAGAUGGUGUCUGACUGCAUCCAACAGGGGACUCUUUGGUAUCCCUGGCUCCCCAUUGUCCUGAAAGCCACCCUCUCCCCACAUUAGAGUGGUCAACCAUCCUGAUGAGCCCAGAAUUGAGAGGUUAACUUCAGUGCUAAAACUAGCACUGUCCCAGGCAAAGGAACAUACUGGAUCACCCUGCUCCAAAUCCCAUCAGGAACCUCUCCCCUGGCUGCUCACGCCCCUUCUCUCUGCUUGAACAGGAAGUAGGCAGUGAGGCCAAUGCAGGAGGAUGGAUUAAGGCAAGAUGGGAAAGACUCUUCAGACUGGGGGGCUUAGCCUUGUCCCAGCAGAGGAGGAGAGAGGAGAGUGGUCCCCCGAGAUGCCCUCCAACCCUCUCCAGAGGGAGUGCCUGAGUCUCUUGGAAAAAAAGAAGCUUGAGGGGACCAAGUGAAACCGGAACCAGCCCCCUGCUCUAAGGGCCUGCCUGGUACUCUGUUGGCCCCGCCCCAUCCCCUGCCCCCACUCCCCCCUGAGCUAGCCCCCUCCAACCAACCCCCCUCCAGCCUGGCUUCACUGGAGUCCAACUCCAAAGCCUUAUCCCAAGCCCGCAGCCUCUGGAUCUCUUUAUUCCGAUUCAAUUACAUACACAAUAUGAGCUUUGCAAACAGAAAAUUACACGCUGCAAUAAUUGAAUUCUUUCCUGGACUUGAAGCUUGCUGGGCUGUGGUGUGGAGCAGCUCCCAGAUACCCAGCCUUGCCCCAGGGCCCCACCUGCACUUAGCAAAAUCAUAACUAACAUUUAAACAUCAUUUUACAGUUAAUGGUGUUUCCACCCCAACCAUCUCCUUUGAAUUUUAUAGCUAUAUGAAGUGAUACGUAUGUAUAUAUACACACGCAUACCCUGCUAUUAUUAUCAAUCCCUCUUUACAAAUGAGAAAACUAAAACAGAAUAAUUACAAGAUGUUCUUAAAGGAACAGAAGAGGUAACUUACAGCAUGUCCAAGACCUAAAUCUGAGAUAGAUUUCAUGGUUUUUGCCAAUCUAGCCUGAUCCUCACUCCGUCCCAGCCCUAGCUAGCAGAGAGGUCUGAUUCCCCUCCCCCCUGAUGUUCAGGAAUAAAGAAGAUGACUCCAUGGGCGGCGCCUGUAGCUCAGUGAGUAGGGCGCCGGCCCCAUAUGCUGAGGGUGGCGGGUUCAAACCCAGCCCCAGCCAAACUGCAACAACAACAAAAAAAAAUAGCCGGGCGUUGUGGUGGGUGCCUAUAGUCCCAGCUGCUCGGGAGGCUGAGGCAAGAGAAUCGCGUAAGCCCAAGAGUUAGAGGUUGCUGUGAGCCUUGUGACGCCACGGCACUCUACCCAAGGGCAGUACAGUGAAACUCUGUCUCUACAAAAAAAAAAAAGAAGAAGAUGACUCCUUUUCUCCUCUCCCACCAGCCUGGACUCAUGGGUUAUCUUCAGAGCUGUGGACACAAUCUAUCUUGUUCCCAAUCACAGACCAAAGCUAUUGUUGCAAAAGCUGUGAAAUGCUUACAAACAAAGGUAAUUGUUGGAGGCCCUAAAGAGAAGGGUCCCCCAUACCUUUUUCCUCGAUAACCAACAUGGCAACUACUUUGAUUUCAUUCCCCCUGCCCUGCCUUUAAAAUGAAGCCAAACCUACGAAUCCUUAGACAUCUGCAGUAAAUAUGGCUGUAACUUCUGCCGCCCUAGACAGUAUUCCCUCCAUGAAUAUUUAUUGAGCACCUGCUGUGUGCCAGGCAUUUGUUACCUCAUUGAUUCUCACAGUAAAUUAAUGAAAUAGGUACCAUUAUUUCUCUUUUAGAAAUAGGCUACUGGGGCUUAGAGCAGUAAAGAUGCUCACUCGAUCUCCUACUCCUAGUAAGGACUAAAACCCAGGUCUACCACUAUCAGGGCCUGUGCUCUUACCCAGGGUAACAUAUGGCCAGUUAAGGACAGGGGCUCCUUCCUCCCUCCCUGGUUUAGGCCAAUCACAUCUUCGAACUGGACUAUUGAAUUCCUUCCUUUAUGGUCUCCAUGAUUUUGGUCUUCUGGGCAUUCAUUCUGUCCUCUGUACUCAGCUAGUAAGUUUUUGAAAUAAACAACUCUGACAAAGUCUUUCCAAGAAAAAUUCAAUAGCUCCCAACUACUUACAGAAAAAAAGAAAGAAAACGAAAUGAAGUUCAAGCUCCAUGGAGCACUGGGCAAGUUCCUCUGGGAUCCUGCUUCUGUCUGCAGCUCUGUCUCCUGCCUCUUUUCCCCUUGCAUAGUACUCUAGAGUUAUGCUAAAUUGCUUCUAAUUCUUUUGCUGCAGACACCAGGAGGUUUCCUACUUCACUGCAUGGAUUUAUGCUUCCCCUUCUCCCUAGAAUGACCUUCCUAUUUUGUUGGGCUUAAUCCUGCUUCAUCAAGGCUCAGCCCAGACUUUAUCCACUCCAGAAAACCUUUGCUGAGUGUCACAUCAGCCAAGUCUUCCAUGCUGUGAUUCCAUAGCCCCCUUGCACACUUCUCUGAGAGGACAACUACUGUUGAUGUGUCUGUGACCCCCAGCCCUGGUCCCCAGUUUUGGACUGGAAAUACAUCCCACAUAGAGUGUGCCAUUCUGUCUGUGUCCCAGAAGCUAAACAGUUCCUGGCUCUUAGUAAUCACUCACUAAAUAUUUGUGGAAUGUCUUUAAAUCACCAUGUUUGGCUGGAUGACACUUAUGUGCACAAUCAUAUCCUCCUAAAUACCUGCCCUCGGAUGAUUUUUUAUGAGACCUGACACUGAAUAUAAAAGUAUUUGCCCACAUAGCCUGGAGUUGUGCCCAUAUGCACCAAAGGAAACUGUUUUGUAGAACUGCAGAAUAAUCCUGGAACUAAAAAUUCUAGUCUUCUACAUCAAUUAGCUUCUCCCUGAUUUCCUAGAAGGUCCUAGAAAAUGAGACGGAAAGUUUGAGAUGAGUGCAAAGCUCACCUGUCAGUCCAAGGCUUCCAUAGCAGACAAGGCAGAGAAGCCAAUGUUCUUUCUCCUAAGAACAUUCCAGGCAUUAUGGUCACAGAAGGGAAUUGGGCAAAUGAAGACAUUUACUAUGCACCUAAUAAAGAAGGUUCAAUAUUGCAAAGAUGUCAAUUCCCUGCAAAUGAAUCUAUACAUAAUUAAUGCACUCCCAAUCAAAAUCCCAACAAGUUUUUCAUAGAACUUGACAAGUUAAUUUUGAAAUCUAUAUUGAAAAAUAAAUAUUGAGAAAAUCAAGAUCAUUAAAAGAAAAAAAAAGGAGAGGAUCUCAGCCUCUCAGAUAUCAAAACAUACUAAUAAAUGUACGAUAUGUAAUGGUAAAAUUCUGUGUUAUUAGCUUGGAAAUAGACAAACGGAUGAAUAUAUUAGAAUUCCAAGCCCAUUUUCUGGGCAUGUAAGAGGCACAAGAUAGACAUUUGUUGAAUAAAAGUGGCAUUUCACAUCAGUGGCACAAUAAAUUGGAGUGGGACGAUUAAUUAUUUAUUGAGAAAAAAAUAAAGAUAGAUUCUCUACCUUGUAUCAGUUACAAAAAUCAAUUCCACUAAGCUUAUAAACAUAAAUAUAAGAAUAUCCAUGAAUUAGGACAGACUGUAAACUCUCUUGUUAAUGACUUUAGGGUAGGGAGGCUUCCUUUUUUGUUUCAAAUACUGAUUUUUAAAUUUAUUGAAAUCAAGACAAAUUAUUAAAAAUUGGAUUAUUUCAGUUUUAAGUUUAUAGGAAUCCUUUUAGGAUUUUUAAAUCAAAGCUUUGACCUAGUUCUAUCAGAUUAUUUACUUAUUCUUUUUGUUUUAAAUUUCAAAUUGUUAUAGGGGCACGUAGGAUUUUGUUAUACUGUUUCCUUUUGUGUGGAUAAAGUCAGAGUUACAGAUGCGUCCUUGGCCUGGAAAGUGUGCAAAUACCCCCCAAUGCAUUGUACCCAUUGGGUAGAAAUUUACCCAACCCCUUUCCCCCUUACCCCUACUUAAAUUUCCUUAAGUUUUGCAUCCAUAUGAACUUAUAGGUGUUGAACAAUUAGUCCCAAUUUAAUAUUGAGUACUUGUGGUUGUUUUUCUAUUCCUAUGAUACUUCACUUAGGAGAAUAGUCUUCAAUUCCAUCCAGGUUAUUACAAAAGAUACCAGAUUACCAUCUUUUUAUGACUGAAUAGUAUUCCAUGGUAUACAUAUAUCACAUUUUAUUAAUCCAACCAUGAAUUGAUGGACACUUGGGUUGUUUUUACAUUUUUGUGAUUGUGAAUUGUGCUGUUAUGAACAUUCAAGUGCAAAUAUCUUUUUGAUAAUCUUUUUUUCCCUUUGGGUAAAUCCCUAGUAGAGGGAUUUCUAGAUCAAAUGAUAGGUCUACUUUUAGUUCUUUGAGGAAUCUCCACACUACCUUCCAUAGAGGUUGUACUAGUUUGUGGUCCCAUCAACAGUGUGUGAAUGCUCCUUUCUCUCCACAUCCAUGUCAGCCAUCUGUUGCUUUAGUGCUUUAUGAUGUGAGCCAUUCUCACUGGGGUUAGGUGGUAUCUCAAUGUUGUUUUGAUUUGCAUUUCUGUAGUAGAGACGAUGAAGAUUUUUUUCAUGUGUCUGUUCAUUGUUAGUCUAUCUUUGUAAGAAAAAUUUCUGUUCAUGUCUCUUGCCCACUGUGCAAUGGUAUUGUUUGAUCUUUUCUUAUUGAUUUGCUUGAGUUCUUUGUACAUUUUGGUUAUCCAUCAUUUGUUUGAUGUGCAACAUGAAAAAAUCUUCUCCCAUUCUGUAGAUCAUCUAUUCGCUUUCUCGAUUGUGUCCUUGGCUAUGCAAAUACUUUUUAACUUGAUCAGGUCCCACUUAGUUAUUUUUGUUGUUGCUGUGAUUGCCAGUGGGGUCUUCUUCAUAAAUUCCUUCCCUAUGUCAAUAUCUUUAAGAGUUUUUCCCAUGUUUUCUUCUAGGAUUUUUAGAGUUUUAUUCCUUAAUUUUAAAUCUUUUAUCUAUCAUGAGUUAAUUUUUGUGAAUGGUGAGAGGUGUAGGUCCAGUUUCAGUCUUUUAUAUGUGGCUAUCCAGUUCUCCUAGCACCAUUUAUUGAAUAGAGAUUCUUUUCUCCAGUGUGUGUUUUUGUUUGAUUUGUCAAAUGUCACAUAGCCUUAUGGGGUUGGUUUCAUUUCUAUAUUCUCUGCUCCCUUCCAAAGGUCUAGGUCUUAUUUUUAUGCCAAUACCAUGCUAUUUUGGUCAGUAUAGCCUUGUAGUAUAGCUGGAAGUCUGGUAAAGUGAUGCUUACAGAUUUGUUCUCAUUUUAUAGGAUUGAAUUGGCUACUCAGGGUCUCCUCUGGUGCCAUAUGAAGCUCAGGAUAUAAAUCAAUCUCCAUAAAUCAGCAGCUUUCAUAUAUGCCAACAACAGUCAGACUGAAAAUCCAAUCAAAGACACAAUACCCUUCAGAGUAGCACCAGCGAAAAUGAAAUACCCUGGAAUAUAUUUAACGAAGGCAAUGAAGGAUUUCUGCAGAGAGAUCUACGAGUCAUUGAGAAAAGAAAUAGCAGAGGAUGUUAGCAGAUGGAAAAAUAUAUCAUGUGCAUGAAUUAGCAGAAUUAACAUCAUUAAAAUGGCUAUACUACCUAAAGUGAUUUACAGAUUUAAUGCAAUCCCUAUUAAAAUACCUACAUGAUAUUUUGAAGACCUACCCUUUGUAUAGAAGCAGAGGGCCUUCAUAUUGCAGAUGAAAAUAAGCAAAAGAUAUAGAGCAGGGGUUGGAUAACGACUGCCUAUAGACCUAAUCUGUUCUGCCACCUAGUUUUGUUAAAAAAAAAAAAAAUUUACUGGGACACAACCAUAUCCACUUGUUUAUGUGUCAUCUAUGGGUGCUUUUGUGCUGUAACAGCAGAGUUGAGUAGUUGGUGACACAGACUAUAUAAUUCGUUUGCAAAGCCAAAAACAUGUACAAUCCAGAUGUUUAUUGAAAGUAUCCUGACCCCUGACAUAGAGUGAAAAGGAAUGAUAAAUAUGACUACUGCACCAAAAAUUAAAACUUGCCAGUCACUGAGAUGUCAUAACCAAGGUUCUGAAGGCAACGCACAAACUUACAGGAAAUAUUUUCAAGAUAUGUAACAGCAGAUUAUUAUUGAGGUUGUAUGAGGACUGCCUACAAAUCAAGGACUCAUUCUAACAAGAAAGAGAUGGUAACCCCAUGGAAGAGCAGGCAAAAGAUAUAAACCAGAAAUUCACCAGAAACAUUAAUAUACCCAGUGGAAACAUGAAGGAAUGCUCAAAAUUAGGUAAUGGGAGGAAAGUUUAAUGAAAGGACUAUCAAGGUAUAGGUUUAAACAAAUAAGGGACGAUAUACUACCUUGGGGCCAGUAAUUUUAUAAUAUGUAUAUUUUGUUAUAAAUAUUUUAAUACAAUAAAAUAGAGUAGAACACGCUAACCCUCUAAAAGGGAAUGAAGAAACCAACUACAUGAUUUUUUAAAUUGUUUAAAUACCAAGGUAAAGAUAGGUGUAAAAAUAAAGACAGGUUGAAAAUAAAAGAUGUAAAGGUAUAAGCAUAAUAAAGCUCUUGUGGCCAUAUUCCAUCAGAAAUUAUCAAUUUCAAGACAAAAACACUACCUAAAUUUAAAAAUGAAUUAUGAGUCAAUACAUUAAGAAGAUUUAAUAAUCUUCAAUUUUUAUGCACCUAACAAUAAUAGAGCUUCAAUACAGAAAGUAAAAACUGAUGAAUCUAAAGGGGGCAAUAGAGAAAUACACAAACAUAGCAUUUGUUUUAACACAUCCCUCUCAGUAAUUGAUAAAACAAAUAGUCACAUAUCGGCAAAGGUAUAGAUGGUUUGAUAAAGGUAGUUGUAACCAUCCCAAGGCUGAAAAUGCAAGAGCAGGAGUAGAAGCCUGGGAGGACAGUACGCAGAGGGCUGUCUGACAGAAGCACACACAGACCUAUGGUGACCUGAAAGAGAAGGAGAAAAGGAAUUCCUCAACCUCAUUCUCCUCCCACCCUCUUGAUCUCCAAUUGGCUGACUCCACUGUAACAAAGAUGAGGAGCCUGUUGACAUGUCCUUAUAGGUCAGCUUCCUGGACUAUGGAAUGGAGAAAUGUGGAAUCUGGGAGGGGAGCAAGCUGAAGCUAGGCAGCACACUGGUAAUCAGGGAAAUGAAAAUCACCCACAAGAAUGGUAAACAUUUGUGAAGUGUGAGUGUUGUGAAACACUCUUGUACACUAAUGACGGAGAAUAAAUUUGGACAUCUGCUUUGAAGUCCACUUUAUCAACUGCCAUGACGUUUUAAAUGUGUAUAUACUAUGACCUCAUAAUUUCAUUUCUCUAUCUAGAGAAAUACUUGUGCAAAGAGGUAUGUACAAAUAUUUCCCAAAUUCCUUUUGAUUGAUGAAUAGAUCAAUUGUAUUACAGUCAAAUAAAUUAUAUUAUAGCCAUAUGACAAGAUAAUACAUGGAUGGAGAUGGAAAAUAUUCUUCUUAGUAAAGUACCUCAAGAAUGGAAGAAAAAGUAUCCAAUGCACUCAAUACUUUUAUGAAACCAAUUUAUAAUUAGUCACAUUUUCUUAUGAAAGAUAGAUCACAACUACAGCCUAGGAUGAAGGAGAGAAAUGGAGUGGGAUGGGAGGGGAGGGUGGAGGUUUGAUAGAGGGAGGGUAAACAGUGGGACCACACCUAUGGUGCAUAUUGUAAGGGUACAAGUCAAAUCUACCAAGUAUAGAACAUAAAUGUCUUAACACAAUAAUUAAGUAAAUGAGGUGAAAGCUAUAUUAAUUAGUUUGAGGUAACCAUUCUAAAUUAUAUUUAAAAAAAUCAAUACAUUGUACCCCACAAAAGCAUAAAUGUAUUCAUGAUCUAUGUGUAUAUGACUUAAUAAAAGGAAAAAAAAUAAAAUAGUGGGUAUAUCUAAUAUAUACUAUUAUGGGUAGUGCUCCAAAAAUAUUAUUGCGUGAAAAAUGGAAGUUGUAAAAUAAUAUAUCCAGUAUUCCGUUUAUGUAAAACACAUACAAAAUAGGCAUCUCUUUUGUAUACAAGUAAGACAUCACAUAAAUUUAUGGACAUCAUCUAAAAGGAUAUAUGUCAAGAUUAGCAAUGGACUUUUUGUUCUUUGUGAAAAUGAAAAUUCACUGUCAUAAAAAAAUAAGAUCAUCAGCUGGGUUAGUGUCUCUCUCCAGUCAUGAAGUGUUCUGGUUCUGUCUGCUGGAAUCCCUCUCCCUUCCCUGCCCCUGUGUCACUGGACCAGGUGUGCCUGUUCGGGCAUGUACUAGAGGGGGUCUUACUGUCAAGUUCAUCGUAUCUGUGUCUGCUUCCCCCUCUUGACUGUGAUCGGGAGCCCAGGACCUUUGUAGUGGAUGUCCUUUGCUUCAUUUUCUAAUCUUUACUCUUUCUGUCAAUUUC
Molecule: long non-coding RNA, 11688 nt
Organism: Nycticebus coucang (slow loris)
Lineage: Eukaryota; Metazoa; Chordata; Mammalia; Primates; Lorisidae
Exons: 7
Source: RefSeq, a predicted model, not a curated record